UACAGAGGGGGCAAGCGUUAUUCGGAAUUAUUGGGCGUAAAGGGCGCGUAGGCGGCUAGACAAGUCAGGGGUGAAAUCCCUCGGCUCAACCGAGGAAUUGCCUCUGAAACUGUCAUGCUUGAGACCGGGAGAGGGUAGUGGAAUUCCCAGUGUAGCGGUGAAAUGCGUAGAUAUUGGGAGGAACACCGGUGGCGAAGGCGGCUACCUGGACCGGUUCUGACGCUGAGGCGCGAAAGUGUGGGGAGCAAACAGG
Molecule: ribosomal RNA, 253 nt
Filed under: uncultured bacterium
Lineage: Bacteria
Description: partial 16S ribosomal RNA
Rfam family: Bacterial small subunit ribosomal RNA
Source: RNAcentral